GACGGGGGAUGCAAGCGUUAUCCGGGAUCACUGGGCGUAAAGCGUCUGUAGGUGGUGAUGCAAGUCACUGGUGCAAAACUCUGGCUCAACCGGAGGAAAGCCAGUGAAACUGCAUGACUAGAGUGUGGGGGAGGUAGAAGGAAUUCCCUGAGUAGCGGUGAAAUGCGUAGAUACAGGGAAGAACACCGGAGGCGAAAGCGUUCUACUGGAACACAACUGACACUGAGAGACGAAAGCUAGGGGAGCGAAGGGG
Molecule: ribosomal RNA, 253 nt
Filed under: uncultured bacterium
Lineage: Bacteria
Description: partial 16S ribosomal RNA
Rfam family: Bacterial small subunit ribosomal RNA
Source: RNAcentral